AGAGUUUGAUCAUGGCUCAGAUUGAACGCUGGCGGCAGGCCUAACACAUGCAAGUCGAGCGGUAACAGAAAGUAGCUUGCUACUUUGCUGACGAGCGGCGGACGGGUGAGUAAUGCUUGGGAACAUGCCUUGAGGUGGGGGACAACAGUUGGAAACGACUGCUAAUACCGCAUAAUGUCUACGGACCAAAGGGGGCUUCGGCUCUCGCCUUUAGAUUGGCCCAAGUGGGAUUAGCUAGUUGGUGAGGUAAUGGCUCACCAAGGCGACGAUCCCUAGCUGGUUUGAGAGGAUGAUCAGCCACACUGGGACUGAGACACGGCCCAGACUCCUACGGGAGGCAGCAGUGGGGAAUAUUGCACAAUGGGCGCAAGCCUGAUGCAGCCAUGCCGCGUGUGUGAAGAAGGCCUUCGGGUUGUAAAGCACUUUCAGUCAGGAGGAAAGGUUAGUAGUUAAUACCUGCUAGCUGUGACGUUACUGACAGAAGAAGCACCGGCUAACUCCGUGCCAGCAGCCGCGGUAAU
Molecule: ribosomal RNA, 521 nt
Filed under: uncultured bacterium
Lineage: Bacteria
Description: bacterial SSU rRNA
Rfam family: Bacterial small subunit ribosomal RNA
Source: RNAcentral